UACGUAGGUGGCAAGCGUUGUCCGGAUUUACUGGGCGUAAAGAGCGCGCAGGCGGUCGUUCAAGUCGCGUGUGAAAGCCCCCGGCUCAACUGGGGAGGGUCACGCGAUACUGAUCGACUCGAAGGCAGGAGAGGGUAGUGGAAUUCCCGGUGUAGUGGUGAAAUGCGUAGAUAUUGGGAGGAACACCAGUGGCGAAGGCGGCUCACUGGACUGGUACUAACGCUGAGGCGCGAAAGCGUGGGGAGCAAACGGG
This 253-nucleotide ribosomal RNA is filed under the name uncultured bacterium. RNAcentral describes it as "partial 16S ribosomal RNA". It matches the Rfam family "Bacterial small subunit ribosomal RNA", at positions 524 to 776 of the family's 1533-position model. The record is from RNAcentral.